GGGUAUAGCUCAGUGGUAGAGCACAAUACUUAGUGCACAUGAGGUCCUGGGUUCAAUCCCCAGUACCUCCA
Molecule: transfer RNA, 71 nt
Filed under: Camelus bactrianus (Bactrian camel)
Lineage: Eukaryota; Metazoa; Chordata; Mammalia; Artiodactyla; Camelidae
Also listed under: 2 other names
Rfam family: tRNA
About the family: Transfer RNA (tRNA) molecules are approximately 80 nucleotides in length. Their secondary structure includes four short double-helical elements and three loops (D, anti-codon, and T loops).
Source: Rfam by way of RNAcentral